This 484-nucleotide ribosomal RNA is filed under the name uncultured bacterium. RNAcentral describes it as "bacterial SSU rRNA". It matches the Rfam family "Bacterial small subunit ribosomal RNA", at positions 30 to 507 of the family's 1533-position model. The record is from RNAcentral.
AUUGAACGCUGGCGGCAUGCCUUACACAUGCAAGUCGAACGGCAGCACGGGAGCAAUCCUGGUGGCGAGUGGCGAACGGGUGAGUAAUAUAUCGGAACGUGCCCGGUCGUGGGGGAUAACGUAGCGAAAGCUACGCUAAUACCGCAUACGAUCUACGGAUGAAAGCGGGGGAUCGCAAGACCUCGCGCGAUUGGAGCGGCCGAUAUCAGAUUAGGUAGUUGGUGAGGUAAAGGCUCACCAAGCCGACGAUCUGUAGCUGGUCUGAGAGGACGACCAGCCACACUGGGACUGAGACACGGCCCAGACUCCUACGGGAGGCAGCAGUGGGGAAUUUUGGACAAUGGGCGCAAGCCUGAUCCAGCAAUGCCGCGUGCAGGAUGAAGGCCUUCGGGUUGUAAACUGCUUUUGUACGGAACGAAACGGUGAGCUCUAAUACAGUUUGCUAAUGACGGUAUCGUAAGAAUAAGCACCGGCUAACUACGUG